This 484-nucleotide ribosomal RNA is filed under the name uncultured bacterium. RNAcentral describes it as "partial 16S ribosomal RNA". It matches the Rfam family "Bacterial small subunit ribosomal RNA", at positions 29 to 507 of the family's 1533-position model. The record is from RNAcentral.
AGUGAACGCUGGCGGUAGGCCUAACACAUGCAAGUCGAGCGGAAGCACAGUACUUGCUCCUUCUUUCGGGUGCCGACUGGCGAGCGGUUCCGAGAUAUCUCCCUAUCAGUUUUUUCGAACGUCCUAACGCAGGCACUCAUACGCUAUUCCCGCAUACGACCUAAGUGUGAAAGCUUCGGAUCUUCCGCUCUUACAUGAUUCUAGGUCGGAUUAGCUAGUUGGUGGGGUAAAGGCCUACCAAGGCGACGAUCCGUAGCUGGUCUGAGAGGAUGAUCAGCCACACUGGAACUGAGACACGGUCCAGACUCCUACGGGAGGCAGCAGUGGGGAAUAUUGGACAAUGGGCGCAAGCCUGAUCCAGCCAUGCCGCGUGGGUGAAGAAGGCCUUCGGAUUGUAAAGCCCUUUUAUUUGGGAAGAAAAGCAGCAGGUUAAUACCCCGCUGUUCUGACGUUACCCAAAGAAUAAGCACCGGCUAACUUCGUG